AGAAUUUUUCUCAAUGGGGGCAACCUUGAAGGAGCGACGCCGCGUGGAGGAUGAAGGUCUUCGGAUCGUAAACUCCUGUCAUUGGUGAACAAGGCCCACACAGUAACUGGUGUUGGGAUUGCUAGUAGCCGAAGAGGAAGAGACGGCUACCUCUGUGCCAGCAGCCGCGGUAAUACAGAGGUCGCAAGCGUUGUUCGGAUUCAUUGGGCGUAAAGGGUGAGUAGGUGGCGAGGUAAGUCUGGUGUGAAAUCCCGGGGCUCAACCCCGGAACUGCACUGGAUACUGCCCUGCUAGAGUACUGGAGAGGAGAUUGGAAUUUACGGUGUAGCAGUGAAAUGCGUAGAUAUCGUAAGGAAGACCAGUGGCGAAGGCGAAUCUCUGGACAGUUACUGACACUGAGGCACGAAGGCCAGGGGAGCAA
This 421-nucleotide ribosomal RNA is filed under the name uncultured bacterium. Its description in RNAcentral is "bacterial SSU rRNA". It matches the Rfam family "Bacterial small subunit ribosomal RNA", at positions 358 to 771 of the family's 1533-position model. The record is from RNAcentral.